Molecule: long non-coding RNA, 1188 nt
Filed under: Capra hircus (goat)
Lineage: Eukaryota; Metazoa; Chordata; Mammalia; Artiodactyla; Bovidae
Description: lncRNA (ENSCHIG00000005058.1)
Source: RNAcentral
CCUUAGGAAAAUAAUAGUAGUAAUAAUAACGGUGUUGCUGUUCCAGUGCCCGUCCAGCCUCCCGCUCGGUCUUUGAGAAAGCAAGCAGGAAAGAGCUGCUCUGCUCCCUCCCCUAAUGAUGCCCCGGACCGGAGGGGAAGACCACGGUGCCCGCGGGGCUGGGCCCUCGGUAGGAUUAAGGCCUCGGGCGGUCGCCCUCAAAGCAAGAUAAGCCAGUAGUGAGCCCCUUCGAAGUCGGCUGGGUGGGAUGGGCGGACUUUUCUUCCUGGGACCCUUGAGAGCAGGGCUGACUUAGCGCAAGGGCUUGAGUCAACACACCCAAGGAAGAUCUGUACUUAACACAUCUGCUUUACUAAACACAUCUGCUUUACUAAACACAUCUGCUUUAUUGUGUCAACUCUGAAGUGUCAGGGUUGGGCUGGGCUGGGCUGUUUAGUCGCUGAGGGCUGAAACAAAUGCACUUUUUCUAUUUAUCAGAGUACAAUUGAAAAAAUGCGUAAUAAAAGAACAAUAUCCUACUACCUGGAGGUUUAGGGACUAGAGCUUGAUGCUGGUAAGCAACCUUACAACAGCCACCAGACCCAGAAGUUCUGAACUGAAGAAGUGGCUUUCUAAGCCUCGAGGAGAAUGGGCACAGCAGCUUAUUAGACCUCUAACACUGAUGGAAGAAUUCCAAGUUUCAGGAAUUCACACUCACUCCCUUAUCUCUCUCUUCCUGGAUUUAAAAGGUUGAGGCUGUUCUGUUUCCAGGAAAUCAAUUUUGUAUUUAAGCACUCGAACACACGAAGGAAAACCAAGAUCCUCUCUCUUCACCACUUUAUCUUCAGAAAGGAGACGUUUUGAUGUAAUUUGCAGAACAGAGAACACGCAAUGGGAUUCCCAACAGAAAAGGUGGCAGGCCAGAAGGAAGUGAAACUUUCUGCAGGAAAUUAAUGAAGUGGGUCAAAGCUUUCCUUCCCUCGAGUCUCUCUUUUCUGUAUGCUGUGACCUAAGACGGGAGAGGGGGUCCCUGGGAAUGUCCCUUUAUACCUGAAAGGAGCACUGGAUAGUGUAAGAUUCAGGGUCAAGACACCGUGGAGUGAAGAGUUCAGGAGAAGUCUGCUUUAAUACCUUAAGGAAAGCGAAAGCCAUUCAGCCAUGUCCUGCUCUUUGUGACCCCAUGGUGACCACAUGGGUGGGAUUCUCCAG